GUCUACGCCAUGCCACCCUGACCAACCCCGAUCGCAUCUGAUCUCGGAAGCUAAGCAGGGUCGGGCCUGGUUAGUACUUGGAUGGCAGACCACCUAGGAAGACCAGGUGCUGUCGGCA
Molecule: ribosomal RNA, 118 nt
Filed under: Pteropus alecto (black flying fox)
Lineage: Eukaryota; Metazoa; Chordata; Mammalia; Chiroptera; Pteropodidae
Source: RNAcentral